UAAUACAGAGGUCUCGAGCGUUAGGCGGAAUCACUGGGCUUAAAGCGUGUGUAGGCGGAUCGUUAAGUGCCUUGUGAAAUCCCACGGCUUAACCGUGGAACUGCUUGGCAUACUGGCGGUCUUGAGCAACCUAGGGGCGAGCGGAACAAAUGGUGGAGCGGUGAAAUGCGUAGAUAUCAUUUGGAACGCCAAUGGUGAAAACAGCUCGCUGGGGGUUUGCUGACGCUGAGACACGAAAGCCAGGGGAGCGAACGGGAUUAGAUACCCCGGUAGUCCUGGCCCUAAACGAUGUCCACUAGAUCCUAGAACCUCUGACGGUUUUAGGGUCGAAGCAAAAGUGCUAAGUGGACCGCCUGGGAAGUACGGUCGCAAGGCUA
RNAcentral lists this ribosomal RNA (377 nucleotides) under uncultured bacterium. RNAcentral describes it as "bacterial SSU rRNA". It matches the Rfam family "Bacterial small subunit ribosomal RNA", at positions 521 to 896 of the family's 1533-position model. The record is from RNAcentral.